UCUGGAAACUNUCUGACUUGAGUGCAGAAGGGGAGAGUGGAAUUCCAUGUGUAGCGGUGAAAUGCGUAGAUAUAUGGAGGAACACCAGUGGCGAAAGCGGCUCUCUGGUCUGUCACUGACGCUGAGGCUCGAAAGCGUGGGUAGCGAACAGGAUUAGAUACCCUGGUAGUNCACGCCGUAAACGAUGAGUGCUAGGUGUUAGGCCCUNUCCGGGGCUUAGUGCCGGAGCUAACGCAAUAAGCACUCCGCCUGGGGAGUACGACCGCAAGGUUGAAACUCAAAGGAAUUGACGGGGGCCCGCACAAGCGGUGGAGCAUGUGGUUUAAUUCGAAGCAACGCGAAGAACCUUACCAGGUCUUGACAUCCCGAUGCUAUUCUUAGAGAUAGGAAGUUACUUCGGUACAUCGGAGACAGGUGGUGCAUGGUUGUCGUCAGCUCGUGUCGUGAGAUGUUGGGUNNNNNNNNNCAACGAGCGCAACCCUUAUUGUUAGUUGCCAUCAUUAAGUUGGGCACUCUAGCGAGACUGCCGGUAAUAAACCGGAGGAAGGUGGGGAUGACGUCAAAUCAUCAUGCCCCUUAUGACCUGGGCUACACACGUGCUACAAUGGUCGGUACAACGAGUUGCGAGCCGGUGACGGCAAGCUAAUCUCUGAAAGCCGAUCUCAGUUCGGAUUGGAGGCUGCAACUCGCCUCCAUGAAGUCGGAAUCGCUAGUAAUCGCGGAUCAGCACGCCGCGGUGAAUACGUUCCCGGGCCUNGU
This 759-nucleotide ribosomal RNA is filed under the name uncultured bacterium. Its description in RNAcentral is "bacterial SSU rRNA". It matches the Rfam family "Bacterial small subunit ribosomal RNA", at positions 625 to 1384 of the family's 1533-position model. The record is from RNAcentral.